Poecilia latipinna (sailfin molly) is the source of this 3004-nucleotide long non-coding RNA. RefSeq lists it as uncharacterized. Lineage: Eukaryota; Metazoa; Chordata; Actinopteri; Cyprinodontiformes; Poeciliidae. The record is from RefSeq and is a predicted model, not a curated record. The transcript has 2 exons.
UCUUUACUUUAGUUGUUAAGGAACCACCCCAUCAUCAGCGACUGCAUGAGAAAAAGAAGCAAGGAGACAGCCAGAAUAUAAUCUGAGCCAAAUUCAGCAGAAUGGCCUGUUUAUCAUGGCGACCCUUCAGCUCUCAUCUCUCGUGCCUCGUAUUCCAUUUGUCUUUCAGCUGUGAAAGAGCGUUACGCAGCCCACAAGUGACCCACAAGCGCCCAAAAUGAAUACAGUGUGCUAAUAGCUGUGAGAAGACACCCUGGGAGCAACCAUGAAAUAUGUGCAAGGACCCGUGACCACUGAGAUAAUAGCCCCUGACCAGACCACGGAUUGUCUGUCCACUCUCUCCUCCGCCGCUCUCCCGCUCAGGUUUGGAGUGGCUCGGGUCCAGGACAGAUGGUUUCCAGACGAGCCACUAAACACAAGCCACAGCAGGGCCGGUGCCGGCUAUUUCCUAGCAGGGAGUUUUGUUUGUGGGAGCUUUUUGUGUUCAUCUGCCGAACCACAUCCAGGGCAGAAAGAAGAGAAGAUGGGGGCAGCUCUAAUUAAAGCCCAAGGAAGAGUGUCAUCUGCUGUGAACUCACAACCGGGGGGGCACAGCAAAUCAAUGGACAGCCAGCUCUGUCAUCACCAUCAACAGCUCCCGAUCAGAGCAAUUGGAGGGGAACAAAAAGGAGCGAGAAAGACACUACCGGGGAAGCUUCUACCACCUGUGCCGAGCCUAAGAGUGCCGAGGGGGAGAGAAAGAGGGAGACGGGCACAGAGAUCCAUGAAAAACACAGACCGAAAUUGUGACGCCACGGUUCAAUCUAUUGUGAAACACUGGAGAUUUAUCGUUUCUUAGUUAGGGUUAGCAAUUUCGCAAUCAUCACCCUAGACAUCUAUUUUGAUAAACAAAGAAGGUGCAAUUCUAUGGCCAGAAUGAUCUAAAGACCUUUUAAAAAAUAUAGAUUUUUCUUUUUCUUUUUUUUUUUUCCCCCUCUUGCUUUUGUUAUUGAAUCUAGCGGCUACACAGAGAGAGAGAGAGUGCCAACGAUAAAUGUUUCUUGCAACAAGAAAAAGUGUUUCCAGCGCAAAUUUCGGAGUAUUGAACUCUGCAAGCGGUAUCAGUGCUCUCCUGUCUGUGUGAACCGUGCCUCCGGGCCAGAGAGCUUUGGUGCGCUGGAUCAGAUUCUUACACAAACACGGCCGCAGAGACGGCAUGUUCUCGUGGCAUUAGCAUUCCAAAUGUUUUUUUUUUUGUUUUUUUUUCGAGACGAACGUGAAUGCGACUAUUUUUGUCUCAUAACGCGCGCUCUCAGAUAGCCCCCUUUUGAAUAAAUGAAUUCUGACAAGGGGAAUCUGCAUACAAAAACACAGCAGGUUUUAAGGCAGCGGCUGGUCGACCAGCGAAGACCUCUGAAGUCCUCUCUGAAUCUCUUCAUUCAUCGCCUGCUCCUUGCGGGCCCGCGGCUCUUUAAAUGGCCGCCUGUGUUUGUGCCGUGUUCACACUGGCGGUUAGAGAGGCAGCGAGGCAUACACCAACACAUUAAGUCCUCUGUGUUUGUGGUUGGCACCUGCAAAUCCUUUUGCUUGCCUUAAUGUCAUGCAGAAAUGUGUUGAAUUUAAGAUGUGAUCUUAAAUGGAACCUCGAGUGUGAUUCUGCGAAGAAAAUAGGAAAAAGCAGCGUACUUGUUUUUGCCUUCAGGCAGGCACAAAUUUAUUGGUCUUUGUGCCAGAAAUUCAGACACCUGAGCUGCGAGACCAAACCGUUUCUAAGAGUUCUGAACUUUCUACACUUUUACCCUACAGGGUUAAAGACUAUUUGAUUUGUGUCUUGUUUUGCUGCCUAGUACCAGCCUAUCUCAAUGUGCUGAGUUAACCCAAAAACAGGGUUUGAGUGACCAGUGUGUCACACUGAGGCAGCCAAAGAGUGGCCUAAAAAAUGACAAUGAUCCAAACUACAAACAAAUUACACACACACACACACACACACACACACACACAUAUAUAAGUAUAUCUUUAUCUUUCAAUUAUUAAGUAAAGACAACAAAAUUGUCUAAUUUGUAAUGACAUCGUUGUUAUGAAUAGUAAAAUUCCUACUUGACAUCCCAUUGUAUGAAAUUAGUAAGAGUCGUAUUCUUGUUCUCUUUUGUUAAAACUCCAAGAUCACAUUUUGAAAUUAGCACGGCUAAAACCAGGAAUAAAGCUGUAACACAGGUAGCAAGAGAAAUAUGUGUGGAAGAAAAUAAAGUUUCUUAGGCGGACUGUAUUGACUGCAUGACCAGUUCGGUCAACGUGAAAGUCCAGCACAACAAGCACAAGCUUAUUUCAGCUACUUUGCAGGUCAAACAUGAAGGUCGUCUAGAGUAAGACACCCUGACAAUUGCCUUCUUUUACCCUCUAAUCAUUUCCUAUUUCACUGUGUGUGGAAGAACACUGAAAUCUGAUCAGGUUGUGCAGCCAGGUUGGUUUUGAUGGUUCUUUUUCUCUAAAUGAAGGAAAUCUUAAUUUGAAAACUGUGUUUCAUAUUUACUCAAGAUACAGUUGUUUGAUAUUAAAAUAUUUUUGAUAAUGUAAAACAUUUGAAUGUGACAAAAAAAAAAAGUCCUGUCACAACGUUUUUGUUACUUUGCUCACUUAGUUUUGUACAGUGUCUGUAUUGGGGUGAACACCAUAAACUUUAGAUUGUGCUGCUGCAUGGAAACUGUUACUUUUUUCAAUAUUAUUAUUAUUUAUGUAUUUAUUUUUGUACAAAAAUCACCCAACCAUCCCGAGAUAAAAGUCCAAUGUUUCAUACACAAUCUACAUGCGCCCUGAAUAGAUACAAAAAAGUAUUAGCCAGAUGAUUUAAUCGGAAAGUAAAUUAGGAUGCCGUCAGUUCCUGCGUUUGGCAGGCUUCCAGGUGAACUUUGAUCAGUUGGAGAUUGUGUCUCCAGCUAAUUCACAUUUGUGGAAAAGUAAUGGUGGCAUGUUAUUUAUUUAAAGCGACCUUCAUUUGUCUACAAAUUAAAUGCAAGGCAGAUAUAUA